UACGAAGGGGGCUAGCGUUGCUCGGAAUUACUGGGCGUAAAGGGAGCGUAGGCGGACAUUUAAGUCAGGGGUGAAAUCCCGGGGCUCAACCUCGGAAUUGCCUUUGAUACUGGGUGUCUUGAGUAUGAGAGAGGUGUGUGGAACUCCGAGUGUAGAGGUGAAAUUCGUAGAUAUUCGGAAGAACACCAGUGGCGAAGGCGACACACUGGCUCAUUACUGACGCUGAGGCUCGAAAGCGUGGGGAGCAAACAGGAUUAGAUACCCUGGUAGUCCACGCCGUAAACGAUGAUUGCUAGUUGUCGGGAUGCAUGCAUUUCGGUGACGCAGCUAACGCAUUAAGCAAUCCGCCUGGGGAGUACGGUCGCAAGAUUAAA
RNAcentral lists this ribosomal RNA (374 nucleotides) under uncultured bacterium. Its description in RNAcentral is "bacterial SSU rRNA". It matches the Rfam family "Bacterial small subunit ribosomal RNA", at positions 524 to 898 of the family's 1533-position model. The record is from RNAcentral.